AUAAUGGGUCAGCGACUUAUAUUCUGUAGCAAGGUUAACCGAAUAGGGGAGCCGAAGGGAAACCGAGUCUUAACUGGGCGUUAAGUUGCAGGGUAUAGACCCGAAACCCGGUGAUCUAGCCAUGGGCAGGUUGAAGGUUGGGUAACACUAACUGGAGGACCGAACCGACUAAUGUUGAAAAAUUAGCGGAUGACUUGUGGCUGGGGGUGAAAGGCCAAUCAAACCGGGAGAUAGCUGGUUCUCCCCGAAAGCUAUUUAGGUAGCGCCUCGUGAAUUCAUCUCCGGGGGUAGAGCACUGUUUCGGCAAGGGGGUCAUCCCGACUUACCAACCCG
This 333-nucleotide ribosomal RNA is filed under the name Escherichia coli. RNAcentral's name for it is "partial 23S ribosomal RNA". It matches the Rfam family "Bacterial large subunit ribosomal RNA", at positions 612 to 946 of the family's 2925-position model. Lineage: Bacteria; Pseudomonadati; Pseudomonadota; Gammaproteobacteria; Enterobacterales; Enterobacteriaceae. The record is from RNAcentral.